RNAcentral lists this ribosomal RNA (372 nucleotides) under uncultured organism. RNAcentral describes it as "partial 16S ribosomal RNA". It matches the Rfam family "Bacterial small subunit ribosomal RNA", at positions 527 to 896 of the family's 1533-position model. The record is from RNAcentral.
GUAGGUGGCAAGCGUUGUCCGGAAUUAUUGGGCGUAUAGCGCGCGCAGGCGGUUCUUUAAGUCUGAUGUGAAAGCCCACGGCUCAACCGUGGAGGGUCAUUGGAAACUGGAGAACUUGAGUACAGAAGAGGAAAGCGGAAUUCCACGUGUAGCGGUGAAAUGCGUAGAGAUGUGGAGGAACACCAGUGGCGAAGGCGGCUUUCUGGUCUGUAACUGACGCUGAGGCGCGAAAGCGUGGGGAGCAAACAGGAUUAGAUACCCUGGUAGUCCACGCCGUAAACGAUGAGUGCUAAGUGUUAGGGGGUUUCCGCCCCCCUUAGUGCUGCAGCUAACGCAUUAAGCGCUCCGCCUGGGAGUACGGCCGCAAGGCUG